Molecule: ribosomal RNA, 261 nt
Filed under: uncultured archaeon
Lineage: Archaea
Description: partial 16S ribosomal RNA
Rfam family: Archaeal small subunit ribosomal RNA
Source: RNAcentral
CAGCCGUAAACUAUGCGCGUUAGGUGUACUGGUGACCACGAGUCACCGGGGUGCCGAAGGGAAACCGUGAAACGUGCCGCCUGGGAAGUACGGUCGCAAGGCUGAAACUUAAAGGAAUUGGCGGGGGAGCGCCACAACGGGUGGAGCCUGCGGUUUAAUUGGACUCAACGCCGGAAAUCUCACCGGAUAGGACAGACAUAUGAUAGUCGGGCUGAAGACUCUACUUGAUGAUCUGAGAGGUGGUGCAUGGCGUCAGUGACU